GAUGAACGCUAGCGGCAGGCUUAAUACAUGCAAGUCGAGGGGCAGCGGGGGUAGCAAUACUCGCCGGCGACCGGCAAACGGGUGCGGAACACGUACGCAACCUUCCCAAAACAGGUGAAUAGCCCUCCGAAAGGAGGAUUAAUACACCGUAACAUAAUUAAGUGGCAUCACUUGAUUAUUAUAGACAGCAAUGUCGGAUU
Molecule: ribosomal RNA, 200 nt
Filed under: uncultured bacterium
Lineage: Bacteria
Description: partial 16S ribosomal RNA
Rfam family: Bacterial small subunit ribosomal RNA
Source: RNAcentral